GAUGAACGCUAGCUACAGGCUUAACACAUGCAAGUCGAGGGGUAACGAGAGGAAAGCUUGCUUUCCUUGUCGACGACCGGCGCUCGGGUGAGUAACGCGUAUCCAACCUGCCCCCAACUAGGGAAUAACCUUGCGAAAGUAAGACUAAUACCCUAUAAUUUCCUCAGAUGACAUCUGACGAGGAAUAAAGAUUUAUCGGUUGUGGAUGGGGAUGCGUCUGAUUAGCUUGUUGGCGGGGUAACGGCCCACCAAGGCAACGAUCAGUAGGGGUUCUGAGAGGAAGGUCCCCCACGUUGGAACUGAGACACGGUCCAAACUCCUACGGGAGGCAGCAGUGAGGAAUAUUGGUCAAUGGGCGAAAGCCUAAACCAGCCAAGUAGCGUGCAGGAUGACGGCCCUAUGGGUUGUAAACUGCUUUUAUACAGGAAUAAAGUUAGCCACGUGUGGUUAUUUGUAGGUACUGUAUGAAUAAGGACCGGCUAAUUCCGUGCCAGCAGCCGCGGUAA
Molecule: ribosomal RNA, 506 nt
Filed under: uncultured bacterium
Lineage: Bacteria
Description: partial 16S ribosomal RNA
Rfam family: Bacterial small subunit ribosomal RNA
Source: RNAcentral